GAUGAACGCUGGCGGCGUGCCUAAUACAUGCAAGUCGAGCGAACGGACGAGAAGCUUGCUUCUCUGAUGUUAGCGGCGGACGGGUGAGUAACACGUGGAUAACCUACCUAUAAGACUGGGAUAACUUCGGGAAACCGUAGCUAAUACCGGAUAAUAUUUUGAACCGCAUGGUUCAAAAGUGAAAGACGGUCUUGCUGUCACUUAUAGAUGGAUCCGCGCUGCAUUAGCUAGUUGGUAAGGUAACGGCUUACCAAGGCAACGAUGCAUAGCCGACCUGAGAGGGUGAUCGGCCGCACUGGAACUGAAACACGGUCCAGACGCCUGCGGGAGGCAGCAGUAGGGAAUCUUCCGCAAUGGUCGAAAGCCUGACAGAGCAACGCCGCGUGAGUGAUGAAGGUCUUCGGUUCGUAAAACUCUGUUAUUAGUGAAGAACAUAUGUGUAAGUAACUGUACACAUCUUGACGGUACCUAGUCAGAAAGCCACGGCUAACUACGUG
RNAcentral lists this ribosomal RNA (497 nucleotides) under uncultured bacterium. RNAcentral's name for it is "partial 16S ribosomal RNA". It matches the Rfam family "Bacterial small subunit ribosomal RNA", at positions 28 to 507 of the family's 1533-position model. The record is from RNAcentral.